GCCAGUGGUAGCUCAGUGGUCAAGAUGCCGGACUUCUGAUCGGAAGAUCGUGAGUUCAAAUCCCAGCACUGCCA
Pangasianodon gigas (Mekong giant catfish) is the source of this 74-nucleotide non-coding RNA. The record is from the annotation of a GenBank genome assembly. Lineage: Eukaryota; Metazoa; Chordata; Actinopteri; Siluriformes; Pangasiidae.